AAAAAAGAACAAUUUUGCAGCCACUCGGGCAAUACCCUCAAGUUGCGACAAUCUCCAAUCAUUAUCCUCUGCAAUGUACAUGCAGAACCUUUGAGCCACCCGGGCAAAGAAACAAUUUCCGAUGAUCCCCCGAAUAUGAAGGAUUGAAGCCUCAACACGGAGCGUGGUUCAUUACUUUUGCCUUCUUGCGGCCUCAAGUUCCGGCAGCCGCUAAUCCAGAGAUCCUCCAAUGCCUUCAGAUUCUUGAUGCCCUAUGGUAAGGAGGCCAACUUUGGACAACCUCCAAUGAGCAACUUACGGAGCGACGUGAGCGAUUGGAUGUCAUCGAACAAGGCCUCCAAAUUCUCACACCCUCCAAUGCUUAGCCACCGCAGAGAUGCAAUUCCUCGAGUCCCCUGCACCCGCCAAGACCUAAGCACUGCAGAUUGCGAAGCUUGCAGAACGAUUUGGGGGAGUUUCUUGAUAUUACAGUUGUCGGAUAAAUGAAGAAACCUCAAAUGAUUUAGACCGCCAAUGGAACUAGGCAGUAUGUCAAAGCUAGAGCCAUAUAGAUCUAUCACUCGCAAGUGCUUGAAUCGUGAAAUGCACAUCUCCAGAAAGAACUCCCCAGAGGAACCCUCCUCAAACAUGACGGUACGAAUGCAGCUGAGUUUGCCCAAGCAGCUGCGUUAUUCAUCUUUUGGUACAUGAGAUGGGUCGGGAAAUGAUGUAUGCCGAGUCAUCGGGGAAAUAUCCUGCGUGAACACUUUCAUGUUUGACGAUUCCAUUUGUGCCACCGAAAUGGCAAGUUCGUGAAUGAGGUCGUGCAUUCCGAAGAUCAGGAAUGGAUAGUUUUCCUAGACAGCAUCGAAGAAGGAUCUCGACAACAGCUCCUCCAAGUAUUGCCAUCCAAUCUCUUCCAGCUCCUGACUAUUUCCGCUGGAUUGGAUGAGCCCGUUCGAGAUCCACAGUUGGAUCAAAUCAAAGUUGACUAACGUGCGUUUCUUCAGGAAUAUUGAGCAAUAAGCAAAACAUUGUUUCAAGUAAGGCGGCAUUAAAUCGUAGCUUAUCCUUAGUGAAGGUAAAAUAUGAGUUUGUAAUUGCCACAUCUCACUAUCUCUUACAUAUUUCCCGUCGCUCCGGUUGUUUUUUUUUUAAUACAACAA
This is a long non-coding RNA of Syzygium oleosum, 1145 nucleotides long. RefSeq lists it as uncharacterized. NCBI's taxonomy places the organism in Eukaryota, Viridiplantae, Streptophyta, Magnoliopsida, Myrtales, Myrtaceae. The transcript is spliced from 2 exons. The record is from RefSeq and is a predicted model, not a curated record.